UUUUUUUUGUCUGAUUUU
Molecule: small RNA, 18 nt
Filed under: Arabidopsis thaliana (thale cress)
Lineage: Eukaryota; Viridiplantae; Streptophyta; Magnoliopsida; Brassicales; Brassicaceae
Description: ATSL180500
Source: RNAcentral